Non-coding RNA from Meleagris gallopavo (turkey), 3999 nucleotides. Lineage: Eukaryota; Metazoa; Chordata; Aves; Galliformes; Phasianidae. The record is from RefSeq and is a predicted model, not a curated record.
UCAUCCCUUUUAUUCUCUCUGGGGUGAUAAAGGGACCCACAGGCUUAACCAGCUCCCCCAGCACAGCCCCAGCAGCUGCAGACUCUGAAGAAUCUCCUACUCAGAGACCUCUCCCCCAGUCAGGGAGACCAGCUGUGUGACUGACUGCACACACUGCAGAACCAGGGAACCUGAAACAGACACAUGGCUGGGGGCUGUGGGUGAGCAGGUGACCAAAGGGUUUUUUUUCUCCAGCAUCGACUCAAGGGCCUCAGGUAAUGUCCUCCAGAUAACCUUUUUCCUGCUGCCCAACAUGCUUAUCUGCUGCAGACAGACUGGCAAGAUGAACAGGAAAGCUGAUAACUUAUCUCUCCCUCUCAAGGAGCUUAUUUAAGUGCUGGAAUGUGUCGCAAUGGUAAAUGAUUGUUACAAUCCAACUGAGGUACAUGGACAUACAGGCAGGCCCUGCUGGGAAGCAGCACCUAUUUAGGAAGGAGACCCACAAGACCACAAGAUUUCAAGGCUUUUCCAUCUUUCAUCUACCUAAAGACAUCUCCUAAAAUGCAAAACAUUUGUUUAAAACCAACGUGCUCCUCCUCUUCAGCCUGUGGUUUAACACUGUUGGCUGCUCCUGGGUGCAUGUGGUUCCUGUGUCUCUCUGAUAUGGCCUAUCUGUGUUUGUCUGCUCAGCAUUGAGCGAGGGGUACGGCAAGGGUUAUUGCCAUAUCUGCAUAGCACCACACUGCUCCUGCUCGCCCUUCCAUCCAGGCUCAGCGCAGGAAAUAGUAGGAUGCUAACAUGUCCAUAGAGGUAGAUAGACUGGAGAACUAUCGGGCUAAUUGGAAUGAGCUGGGCUUACUGCUCAGGCAGCCCGAUACGAAGGAAUGAGACCUCUCCCCAGGGAUGCAGAACGCAGCAGAGUCUCAGCACUUCACUUCUUUCAGCUACUGCAAGUGGCAGCGACAGCAAUAGCAAUUGCAGGCGCUGGGGGCUGAGCGCUGUGACAGCAGAGAGGACAGGGAAAGCCCGUGCUGUCAGUGUGAUGUCCCCAACAGCUGCUGCGGAGGGGUGCAAUGGGGUAUUUUGGUCCUGUCCCGGGUGGAAAAAGAGAUGGUGAUGCUGGGUGCCAGGAGCACUGCUGGGGCAGGGUUCGGGCUCAGGUUGCUCCUGCUGCUCCAGGCACACAGCAGCCUCUGGAGAAAUCGCACCUUGGCAAUGCACACAGCUGCCAUGGGCUGCUGCAUCGGAAAGUUAAUCAGUUCCACAUCACUGACUGCUUUUCCAUUGCGAAGCAGAAGGAAUUGCCAUCCCAGAGCAGAGCUCAGCUUGCCCACGUUGCAGGGCUGAGGGCUUCAGCAGGAGCACAGGUGACACUGUGGCAGCCAGGAUGAGACAAGCCACUUUCUGGGACAUCUGACCUCCAACCUGCAGCUUUUAUCCUCCGCAAAACUCUUGUAAUUAGACAGAGCAAUGUGCAUGUCUACAAGAUCUUCCACAUUCUCUUUGUGCUUUUUAAUGUCCCUAGCUCCAUCCCUUUUGGUGGCAGCAGGACAGCAGCCCCAUCACAGCCUAUUUGGGGGCUGAAGUGAGGACCCCACAGGGAAGUAGGACUGCAGGCAAAGGCCAUGAUGCUCAUUUGUCUCCCUACAAUGUGAUCCAGUUUUGUUGACAGGCAGUAGGGCUCCAGUUGCCAUUUCCUGCUGUAGUUCAUGGGGGCUGAGCAACGAGCUGGUGAUCCAAACAUGUCCCAGCAGCUGUGUGUCCCUCUCUUGGAGUGCCUUGAACCAUCAGGAUGGGGCUGGGCAGCCCUGCAGGCAGUGUGACGCCUGAGGGCACCCGACAUCAGCCCCCACCUGGCUUUCCAGUUGUCGCUGUCAGUGUAGAAAGUAGGAAUUGGGGGAGAAUGCAUCUGAGCUACUUGGUGCCUGUAUCUUGUGAUCCUGAAACCUAAGAGCCCCCUCUGACUCAGCAGGUUAUUAAUAACCCCCUGGCCGUGCCCCUGCUGCAGUGCCUGUCAGUCCUGGCAUCGCCUGUCUGCUCCAUGGCCAGACAAAUGUGUGCCCUGGGCAAGGUCAGGGGCUCCUUCCCACCCCAUCCUCACCCACAGGCUGGGCAGAAGGUGUGUGAGGGCUCUGGGCAUCCCCUGAGGCCACCCAUGACUCAUGCCAGCACAGGAGAAGUUCCUGGUGCUGCUGAAAUCAGUCUCAUUGCACCUGUGUCCCAGGACCUCUGUUUUCUUUUACUUAAAACCAGUCCAGUGCAGGCUGCAAGGGAGGUGAAUUGGGUUUUUUGGACCAGAGCAUCCUGCUAGCCUAUCCAGGUCUGGGGUACACUGGGGUCCCCACACUGCUGUGCGAUUCAAGUUUCCAGCUGUACUUGAUCCCUACGUCCAGUUGGGUGCACUGGAUUCUGCAUUUCUGCUGGACUGCUUUGUUCCUCCUUUGCACACACUUGCCAGGGCUGUGAGGAUAAAGCAGAGGAAGCACAGGGCCUUUAGGGGCCUUGCAGGUAGGUAUGAGACCCGAGGGGAAAGAAUGGUACAGUGAUACCCCAGUGAUGAUAAAGGCCAGGUUUGGGCUAUUCCAGCUGGAAAGUGAGCCAGGCAGUGAUUCCAAUGCCUGGUGCUCAUUAGCCAGAUUAAUUAGUACUCCCUGGGCAGGUUUUAAUUAGGCAAGUAAUUCCUUCAGGCCUGGAGCAGCCCUGGCUGCAGUUGGAGCAUCACUUCCUUUACCUUUUCCCUUCUUUCCCUCCUACACAGUUCCUGGACUAUUGCAGAUGCUGGGAUCUUACUCCGUAACACUCCAAUGGAAUCCCUGAGGUUUUUGCUCUUGUCACCAUAAUUUUUUGGGAUACUAUUCCUGGCACUAGGAACAGCAUCCCAAACUGCUCUGAUCUCCCCCUGCUCAGGCUGUUCCUGGCCCAGUGGCUCGUGGCAGCCUUAGAGGAGCUCCCAGAGCCCUGCUGGGAGGAGCAGCUCCAUCCAUGGCGUAUCCUCCUCCUAGCCUCAUCCCUGACCCUUCUUUGCUCUUCUCUUGAGCCCAUUGUACAAACGAGCCCCUGUCCUUGAUGGGGACCAGAACUGGAGAAGGGGAGAGCACAGAUUUUCCCACCAGCCCUUUCCCUCCUUUCCCUGCUGCUCUUUCAUCCCUCCCGCCUCCCUCAUUUCAUUUGAUCUUUAACAUCCCAUCCAACCUAAGCCGUUCUAUUUCCACCUUCCCUGGGCUCACCCUGUCCUUCCCCAGCCCCAUUCCCACCGCCUCGCGUCUCCUCGGCCCAAGGACGAGCCGUGGGCUCGCAGGGGACGGGUUUGUCGCUCCCCCUAGUGGGGACGCGGCAGGAUGUCGCCGGGCUGGGGGGACGAGGGAAGGGUCCCGCGGGUGGGGGUAACCCCGCGCUCGGUUGUGCCCCCACCGGCGUAAUGCCCCACGUUCCAUGCAGGAAUCCCAAAGGAUUCCCAGUCGGGAGGUCCCGGUCUCUCCGGGUUGGAUCUUCAUGGCCUGGCAGAGAUGCUCAGCUCCCGCUGAAAUAUUUAGGAAUCUUGUUAAUAAUUAAAGGACAGACUGAACUCGCGGGGGAUUUGGUGAGCUCUCAUGAGGCAGAAGAGGCAAAUGUAGUCAGGAGAAAAAUGGUUCGCUAAAGCGUAGCGGCAUUUCAUAAAUUCUCCAUGGAAAAAAAGGAAUGCUGCAGCUCUGGAGGUGUUCCAAACAAUGACCUUUUCCUGGAGGUGAAUCCCACAGCCUCUGUUAAUCACAAGUUAUCAUUUCAGCCUCUGUUAAUCACAAGUUAUCACUUCAGCCUCUGCUUGUGCCGGAUGCACGCGCUGGCCAGGCUGUGCUGAUCCCAUCUCAGAUCAGAGCUGUGCUUUCAGAGCCUGCUUGCUUACAGCAUUUCUAACAAAAUCACUCAUUCUCAUUAGCUUCAUCACGUUCAGAGGCAGCUGUUAGUUCCCUUUGGCAGGGGGAAGCGAGAUAUUUUUGAGCUGUGAAACAACAGCUGUCUUGCAGCACAUGGAGCAGGGGG